This 346-nucleotide ribosomal RNA is filed under the name uncultured eukaryote. RNAcentral's name for it is "partial 18S ribosomal RNA". It matches the Rfam family "Eukaryotic small subunit ribosomal RNA", at positions 594 to 945 of the family's 1831-position model. The record is from RNAcentral.
AUAGCGUAUAUUAAAGUUGUUGCAGUUAAAAAGCUCGUAGUUGAACUUCAGGCCUUGUCUGGUGGUCCGCCUCACGGCGUGUACUGUCGGCUGGGGCCUUCCCUCUUGGUGAACCCUCAUGCCCUUUAUUGGGUGUGGGGGGGAACCAGGACUUUUACUUUGAAAAAAUUAGAGUGUUCAAAGCAGGCCUAUGCCCGAAUACAUUAGCAUGGAAUAAUAAAAUAGGACGUGCGGUUCUAUUUUGUUGGUUUCUAGGAUCGCCGUAAUGAUUAAUAGGGAUAGUUGGGGGCAUUAGUAUUCAGUUGCUAGAGGUGAAAUUCUUGGAUUUACUGAAGACUAACUACUG